This 74-nucleotide transfer RNA is filed under the name Stomatobaculum longum. RNAcentral describes it as "tRNA-Pro". It matches the Rfam family "tRNA". From Rfam's summary of the family: Transfer RNA (tRNA) molecules are approximately 80 nucleotides in length. Their secondary structure includes four short double-helical elements and three loops (D, anti-codon, and T loops). Lineage: Bacteria; Bacillati; Bacillota; Clostridia; Lachnospirales; Lachnospiraceae. The record is from RNAcentral.
CGGGAUGUGGCGCAGUUUGGUAGCGCGCCUGCUUUGGGAGCAGGAUGUCGCAGGUUCGAAUCCUGUCACCCCGA